RNAcentral lists this ribosomal RNA (1066 nucleotides) under Chlamydia trachomatis. RNAcentral's name for it is "partial 23S ribosomal RNA". It matches the Rfam family "Bacterial large subunit ribosomal RNA", at positions 1761 to 2823 of the family's 2925-position model. The record is from RNAcentral. Lineage: Bacteria; Pseudomonadati; Chlamydiota; Chlamydiia; Chlamydiales; Chlamydiaceae.
UAGGAGCCCCGGGGGGCCGCAGAGAAAUGGCCCAGGCGACUGUUUAGCAAAAACACAGCACUAUGCAAACCUCUAAGGGGAAGUAUAUGGUGUGACGCCUGCCCAAUGCCAAAAGGUUAAAGGGAUAUGUCAGCUGCAAAGCGAAGCAUUGAACCUAAGCCCUGGUGAAUGGCCGCCGUAACUAUAACGGUGCUAAGGUAGCGAAAUUCCUUGUCGGGUAAGUUCCGACCUGCACGAAUGGUGUAACGAUCUGGGCACUGUCUCAACGAAAGACUCGGUGAAAUUGUAGUAGCAGUGAAGAUGCUGUUUACCCGCGAAAGGACGAAAAGACCCCGUGAACCUUUACUGUACUUUGGUAUUGAUUUUUGGUUUGUUAUGUGUAGGAUAGCCAGGAGACUAGGAACACUCUUCUUCAGGAGAGUGGGAGUCAACGUUGAAAUACUGGUCUUAACAAGCUGGGAAUCUAACAUUAUUCCAUGAAUCUGGAAGAUGGACAUUGCCAGACGGGCAGUUUUACUGGGGCGGUAUCCUCCUAAAAAGUAACGGAGGAGCCCAAAGCUUAUUUCAUCGUGGUUGGCAAUCACGAGUAGAGCGUAAAGGUAUAAGAUAGGUUGACUGCAAGACCAACAAGUCGAGCAGAGACGAAAGUCGGGCUUAGUGAUCCGGCGGUGGAAAGUGGAAUCGCCGUCGCUUAACGGAUAAAAGGUACUCCGGGGAUAACAGGCUGAUCGCCACCAAGAGUUCAUAUCGACGUGGCGGUUUGGCACCUCGAUGUCGGCUCAUCGCAUCCUGGGGCUGGAGAAGGUCCCAAGGGUUUGGCUGUUCGCCAAUUAAAGCGGUACGCGAGCUGGGUUCAAAACGUCGUGAGACAGUUUGGUCUCUAUCCUUCGUGGGCGCAGGAUACUUGAGAGGAGCUGUUCCUAGUACGAGAGGACCGGAAUGGACGAACCAAUGGUGUGUCGGUUGUUUUGCCAAGAGCAUAGCCGAGUAGCUACGUUCGGAAAGGAUAAGCAUUGAAAGCAUCUAAAUGCCAAGCCUCCCUCAAGAUAAGGUAUCCCAAUGAGAC